RNAcentral lists this ribosomal RNA (457 nucleotides) under uncultured bacterium. RNAcentral describes it as "bacterial SSU rRNA". It matches the Rfam family "Bacterial small subunit ribosomal RNA", at positions 342 to 796 of the family's 1533-position model. The record is from RNAcentral.
GGGGAGGCAGCAGUAAGGAAUAUUGGUCAAUGGACGCAAGUCUGAACCAGCCAUGCCGCGUGAAGGAUGACGGCCCUCUGGGUUGUAAACUUCUUUUAUCUGGGACGAAAAAGGGGCAUUCUUGCUCAACUGGCGGUACCAGAGGAAUAAGCACCGGCUAACUCCGUGCCAGCAGCCGCGGUAAUACGGAGGGUGCAAGCGUUAUCCGGAUUUACUGGGUUUAAAGGGUGCGUAGGUGGGCUUUUAAGUCAGUGGUGAAAUCUCCGGGCUUAACUCGGAAACUGCCAUUGAUACUAUUAGUCUUGAAUAUCCUGGAGGUAAGCGGAAUAUGUCAUGUAGCGGUGAAAUGCUUAGAUAUGACAUAGAACACCCAUUGCGAAGGCAGCUUACUACGGGAUUAUUGACACUGAGGCACGAAAGCGUGGGGAUCAAACAGGAUUAGAUACCCGCGUAGUCC